Molecule: transfer RNA, 67 nt
Filed under: Hydroptila sp. XG-2021
Lineage: Eukaryota; Metazoa; Arthropoda; Insecta; Trichoptera; Hydroptilidae
Description: tRNA-Leu
Source: RNAcentral
ACUAAUUUGGCAGAAUAAUGUGAUGAAUUUAGGUUUCAUUAAAAUGAUAUAUUUAUCAUAUUUAGUA